AGCAGCCGCGGUAAUUCCAGCUCCAAUAGCGUAUAUUAAAGUUGUUGCAGUUAAAAAGCUCGUAGUUGAAUUUCGAGACCGGCUUACUGGUCGUGCUAUUGUACGUACUGGUAUAAUCGGUUUCUCCUUUCUGACGAACUUUAAUGCCAUUAAUUUGGUGUUUUAGGGAAUCAGGACUGUUACUUUGAAAAAAUUAGAGUGUUUAAAGCAGGCUCACGCUUGAAUACAUUAGCAUGGAAUAACGGAAUAGGACGUUUGAUUCUAUUUUGUUGGUUUCUAGGAUCGACGUAAUGAUUAAUAGGGAUAGUUGGGGGCAUUAGUAUUCAAUUGUCAGAGGUGAAAUUCUUGGAUUUAUUGAAGACUAACUACUGCGAAAGCAUUUGCCAAGGAUGUUUUCAUUAAUCAAGAACGAAAGUUAGGGGAUCGAAGACGAUCAGAUACCGUCGUAGUCUUAACCAUAAACUAUGCCGACUAGGGAUCGGAUGAUGUUAAUUUUUUAAUGUACUCAUUCGGCGCCUUA
Molecule: ribosomal RNA, 520 nt
Filed under: uncultured Glomus
Lineage: Eukaryota; Fungi; Glomeromycota; Glomeromycetes; Glomerales; Glomeraceae
Description: SSU rRNA
Rfam family: Eukaryotic small subunit ribosomal RNA
Source: RNAcentral